Molecule: long non-coding RNA, 745 nt
Filed under: Bemisia tabaci
Lineage: Eukaryota; Metazoa; Arthropoda; Insecta; Hemiptera; Aleyrodidae
Description: lncRNA ENSSWEETPG013151
Source: RNAcentral
CUUCAGACGAAGAGCCAAGUUUCCUUGGUCCAACAGAUAGAAAGGAAACGGUAGAGGCAGUGAGCUGGAGGAAGUGCGGUGGCAGUUCUGAAGAUAAGGAUGUGUGUGGCUUUGAUGGGAUCUUAAUAACCUCAGAUGACGAACCGACCACAAAGACGGGUCCAAAUUUAAUGUUUGCGAAGAGUACAAAUAUGUUGACAAGGAGAAGGACAUAGUCUUCCGAGAAACUCGCUUCAAAUCCAGCACUGUCAGAUUAUCAGCUUUAAGUGGAUUUGGAAAUCUCUCCCCGACAGAGAAUGAAAGGAAGACACACGAACUCAGUGAUGAAGACUCCUCAGAAUCUGUGUCAUCAGUAUCAUCACUAACAUAUGACACUGAUACGUUACGUUUCGAGCUGAAGCAAAAAGGUUAUGUCCCUGGUCCAAUCACAUUCACGACGAAGAGACUCUACUUGCGGAAGCUGAAAAGGAUAAAUCGAAAAAAUCAGAGAUGUUAUGUGAUUCUGGAGUCAUUGUUCAAAAUCCAGGUAAGUGAUUUCUGCCGUAAAACGCAUUUUUCCCAGUUAAUUUUUGUUCUCCAAGCACAGUCAAAAUGUUAUUGAUCGUUCUCCACAAGUAAUUUUUGAAUAGCUUCAUGAUAAGUUAAGCAACUACAUCUACAAAAGCAGCUUUUACAAUGCUUACUGGCGCCUAGCGACACCUUGAUAGCUUGAGACGCCUCUACACUGAGUUAAUCGCGCACCCAA